Mytilus californianus (California mussel) is the source of this 867-nucleotide long non-coding RNA. RefSeq lists it as uncharacterized. The transcript has 11 exons. NCBI's taxonomy places the organism in Eukaryota, Metazoa, Mollusca, Bivalvia, Mytilida, Mytilidae. The record is from RefSeq and is a predicted model, not a curated record.
CAGACCUUACCUGGUGCAGACAAAAUGAAAACAAUUAUUCUAAAAUUGAGAUUGACGGUACCAAAUACAAACAUGGUACAGAUCCAGUCCAUUAUUUAGAAGUAAAUGACUUUCAACUUAGCGAUGAAGGAAAAUACAUUUGCAAGUUUAAACAUGGUAAAGACGGCCAAUCAAUAUCAUCGUGUUGCCUUUCUUGUGAAGGUUGCCAAAUUCCAAUUAAUGGAUGUCAAGAAGGGGAGACGAGUCUUUUGCAAUUUGAGGUCAAAGAUCGAAGAUUACCACCAUUAGAGGCAUUACCAAAGUCUCCGGAAAGAAGAGAUGAAAUAAAAAAGAAAAAGAAAUAGAAAAAGAAAGAGAAAGAAAAAGAAAAAGAAAAAAAUGCAGAAGAUUAUAACGUUCGACAUUUGAAAAAAGAUGAAACCAACGACGAGCAUAAAGAAUCCAGUUCUCCAAAAUUGACAGAAGAUUUGACAAAUGAAGAAGAGAUGACUGUUACAGUUGUAAGUUCUCUAAAGUUGACAGUGGGUUUGAAAAAUAAAGAAGAUGAUUUUACAGUUGUAAGAUCAUCUUGUUGGCCGUCUCGAAAGGUUGGACAAGAUCCAAAUGCACAAUGGCAUGAUUCUGAUACUAAAGGAAGAUCAGCAAAAGCCAAGGCUCAACAUUCGGACGAGAUUGUAAUGAGUUAUGUUGAAAAAAUAAAACAAACAUUUUGUGAUGGUCAGUCUAUUUGUGAGAACCUUGACUAUGAGAACUUAUUGCUACAUCAAUGUCCAUAUAGUCUCAUUGAAAAAGAAGCGUUAGAUGGUCUUAAAUCUACCAUGUCGAAAGAAAGUCAAAGACCAAAUGAGAAUGAAGCACAAAAUGAUA